AGUGAACGCUGGCGGUAGGCCUAACACAUGCAAGUCGAACGGCAGCACAGGAGAGCUUGCUCUCUGGGUGGCGAGUGGCGGACGGGUGAGGAAUACAUCGGAAUCUGCCCAGUCGUGGGGGAUAACGUAGGGAAACUUACGCUAAUACCGCAUACGACCUUCGGGUGAAAGAGGGGGAUCGCAAGACCUCUCGCGAUUGGAUGAGCCGAUGUCGGAUUAGCUAGUUGGCGGGGUAGUGGCCCACCAAGGCGACGAUCCGUAGCUGGUCUGAGAGGAUGAUCAGCCACACUGGAACUGAGACACGGUCCAGACUCCUACGGGAGGCAGCAGUGGGGAAUAUUGGACAAUGGGCGCAAGCCUGAUCCAGCCAUACCGCGUGGGUGAAGAAGGCCUUCGGGUUGUAAAGCCCUUUUGUUGGGAAAGAAAUCUUUCAGGCUAAUACCCUGGGAGGAUGACGGUACCCAAAGAAUAAGCACCGGCUAACUUCGUG
This 490-nucleotide ribosomal RNA is filed under the name uncultured bacterium. RNAcentral's name for it is "partial 16S ribosomal RNA". It matches the Rfam family "Bacterial small subunit ribosomal RNA", at positions 29 to 507 of the family's 1533-position model. The record is from RNAcentral.